UACAGAGGGGGCAAGCGUUGUUCGGAAUUACUGGGCGUAAAGGGCGCGUAGGCGGCCUUCUAAGUCGAACGUGAAAUCCCUCGGCUUAACCGGGGAACUGCGUCUGAUACUGGAUGGCUUGAGUUCGGGAGAGGGAUGCGGAAUUCCAGGUGUAGCGGUGAAAUGCGUAGAUAUCAGGAGGAACACCUAUGGCGAAGGCAGCUCGCUGGGACGGUACUGACGCUGAGGCGCGAAAGCGUGGGGAGCGAACAGG
Molecule: ribosomal RNA, 253 nt
Filed under: uncultured prokaryote
Description: partial 16S ribosomal RNA
Rfam family: Bacterial small subunit ribosomal RNA
Source: RNAcentral